Molecule: RNA transcript, 1408 nt
Organism: Vigna angularis (adzuki bean)
Lineage: Eukaryota; Viridiplantae; Streptophyta; Magnoliopsida; Fabales; Fabaceae
Exons: 6
Source: RefSeq, a predicted model, not a curated record
UUACUAUUACAUUAAGAAAAAAAAAAUCAGCGUGUGGGUUAUUUUUGUUACAGUAGUUUGUGUUCAGCCAGUUCAUUGCAAAAUCCGAAACUUUGCAUCAAAUUGACGAUGUUCUCUCAAACGCAUUUACUCUGUUCGCGUCCUUUCAGCUUGAACGGGGUUUCAAUGGCCGCCACUUUACGUACCCCGUUUUCCGUUCGUGUCAGUAGCUCAGCCGCAUCGACGUGGGUCGCCGGCGAUGCGAUCCCAGAGCCGGUAAUCUCAGAACAGCAUAAACCCGAUUUUACGCUACCCUCGCAGACGUUGGUCGAGGCAGCUCCGGUCAUUGAAGUGGCAAAAAAUCUAGGGUUCCGACCCAACCCUGAAUUGGGGUUUCUAUCAUACUUGUUCGUCCUCUCCAUGGCUUUUGGUGCGUUUUUCUCAGUAGCUGUGGUUUCCAUUCCUACCUUAAUUGCUUUUGGAAGAUUAGGAGCUUCAGUAAAUAAAUUGGCAAAGGUUGUUUCGGAAGAGGUGCCUGGGACUUUAUCUUCUCUCAAACUUUCUAGUCUGGAGCUGAAUGAAUUAACCCAACAACUUGGUCUUCUCAGACAGUUAAGGCAUAAAACUGCUGGUGUUCCUAUGGGAACAAAGGACAUGAACACUGUCAGAUCAAAAUCCUCUAGCAAGAAGCACCCAACAUCCUAACAUUUCCAAAGACAUGUUGGGCUUUUAACUUUGAAGCUGAUGUUGCAAAUAAUGUGAAAGAAGCUCUCUGCUGGUUUCUCUGUUAUCCUGAGGAUUAGUAAUUUACGGGUAUUGACUAAAUAAGUUGGCGUAUUUGAGACUGGGAUGUUAUGUGAACCAUUUUUCAGUUUUGCAAACUUCUUUAAUGGAUCGGCAGCAUCUUUUGCAUUAACUGGGACAGGCAUAUUGGUUACUAGAGUUACUCUAGAAGAUGAGACCAAGGAUCUUCUUUGUGAGUCUGAAGGAUCAAUCUUCCAUAGUAGCACCUCCCAUACCUGUUACAGAUAAAACUGCUAUGACAUACAUUUCUCAUUUCUCAUAUUUGUAAGCCUUAGCAACGACAAAGUAAAUGAAGAGUCUCAUGAUAAUACCUAGCCAACAAAUAUUGACUCAUCACUGAGAUAGCAGAUUAGACCACCAUGGAAAAACUUGUACAAAAACAUUAUUCUCAUUUCAUCCCAAUCCAGUCAACUGGGAUCAUUGCGAUGAGGUUUGCCAUAUAGAUUCAACAAUUCAAAAUUUGUAACUGUUGUGGGAAGUGUGUUGGUGAUUUUAUUUGUGCUCACGUCUUUAAUUCUGGCAUUAGUUUACGUAACAUUUAAAUUUUUGAGAUAUGUUGUAUUAUUAUUAUUAUGGUUAUUAAUAUUAUUGUUAUAUUGCUUUAUUUUUUAUUUUAAUAGUUAAA